CAGUUACCUGCCCAGGAGAUAUCAGUCACCUCCCCAGGAGAUAUCAGUCAGCUGCCCCUGGUGUUAUAGGGACAGGAGCUCCACGGCAUCCAUUGGUCUACACCGCACCAUGUGCCACGUCAACUCAUAUUAAUUUCACCUCAACUCCUUAAUCACUUUUUUUAGACUUGAACGCAGGGUUACAGUUGUGACCUUCGAAGAAUAUUUACGAUAAUUCAAUUCAAUUUUAUUUAUAUAGCGCCAUAACAAUACAAUUGUCUCUAGGCGCUUUACAGAGCGAUAAGUAUUUUCAAAAGUAAAUUGAACAAAACCAUUAAUUAGUAAACAAAUUCAUUGAUUGAUGGUCAUGGUACCUAAUGACCCCCUACAGUCGACUGGUUAAGGUCAGUGGCCAUGGAGGUUUUCUGGCGUUAGAUGGCACUAAUAGUGUGUUACUGCGAUGGUGGAUUCUGGGAGGUGUAGUCCAAUAGAGUGUUACUGCCAUGGUGGAUUCUGGGAGGUGUAGUCCACAGAAGUGUUACUGCGAUGGUGGAUUCUGACGUUAGAUGGCACUAAUAGGUAACACUAAAAAGUUACUGCUAUGGUGGUUCUGCUUGCUGAUUGGUUGAGGCUGUGCAUGUAUCUUUUCUUUUCUUCUGCCGUUUUCACUCCGCUCCACCCACUCAGAUCCAGCCCCGCCCACUAUGAUCCAGCCCCGCCCACCAUAUCUGGCUCCACCCACACAACCCCGCCCAUCCAUAUCUUGCUCCACCCACUCGGCUCCAGCUCCGCCCCCCAGCUCUAGCUCCACCCACUCGGCUAUGGGCCUGCAGAUUCCCCACAUUUUCUGCUGUUUUUGUAAAGAAUAUUUUCCUCUUUUUUUUUAAUCAAAUAAAGGAAAUGUGAACCCAUGGUGUUGUCCGCUGGUGGUCUUUGGGAGGUGUAGUCCAGUGGUUCUCAAACUUUUUGUCCGGGGACCCCAUAAAAUCCAUUUGCCAAGUCUCGCGACCCCCCACACAUUUUGACAGGAUAUCAUAGGUCUAAAUUCAGUUUCAUCUUGAAUGAUGAGACUGCUUGCUGAGACAAUAUUAGUUUUCAUUAUCCACCCUGAUGUAGAAAACACCAUUUCUGAUAGACUAUACAGCAAGUCAAAGCCUAAUAUGUUGAUGCACAGGGCAGCA
Molecule: long non-coding RNA, 1160 nt
Organism: Clupea harengus (Atlantic herring)
Lineage: Eukaryota; Metazoa; Chordata; Actinopteri; Clupeiformes; Clupeidae
Source: Ensembl